RNAcentral lists this microRNA precursor (96 nucleotides) under Lucilia cuprina (Australian sheep blowfly). Its description in RNAcentral is "microRNA mir-598". Lineage: Eukaryota; Metazoa; Arthropoda; Insecta; Diptera; Calliphoridae. The record is from RNAcentral.
UGUUGAUGAUGUUGUUGCUGUUGUUGUUGCUGCUGUUGCUGGUGUUGUUGUUUGGCAGCAGCUGCAGCAGCGGCGGCAGCAGCCGCAGCGCUUAUU